UCAGAAGUUAUAAAUACAUUAAAAUUUUGACUAGAAAUAAGGUUUGCGUUAUGGUAUUUUUAUAACUAUAUUUUUCUUGGCCUCACUCCUCUUCUUGCUGCCAAGGCUUUUGCUUCUUCCUUCCUCAUUUUACUUCAUAAUUUAUUAACUUUGCUUAAUUUCAAUUUUAGUGUUAUGGUACACACGGUACUCCUUUGAAUUUCAUCAUGAAACCAAAACUAGCAUUUGAAGCUUUGAAAAAUUCUAUAAAAUAUAAAGGAAUAAAAUGUUAAACAGGUUCAAAUAAUGUGGCAAUGACUUAAUAAUUUAAACUAUCGAAAUUAUAAUCAAUAUAUAAGUAUAAAUGGUAUUAAUAAUAAUAUUAUAGAGGAGCUUAAAUAUUUCUCUCGUGAUUAAAAUAAAGUCUUUAAAUUGUAUUAGGAAAUAGUUUUAUAAUUGUAUAUAAUCAUUAAAUUACUAUAAACUGUUAUUAUUAUUAGAUAUUUUUCCCACCAUUGUAAAUAUAAUGUUUGUCAAUAAUUUUAAAUAUUAUAAUACUAAAAUCAUAUUAAACAUAAUGUCUUCUGUCUUAAAACGU
Long non-coding RNA from Daktulosphaira vitifoliae (grape phylloxera), 577 nucleotides. RefSeq lists it as uncharacterized. NCBI's taxonomy places the organism in Eukaryota, Metazoa, Arthropoda, Insecta, Hemiptera, Phylloxeridae. The record is from RefSeq and is a predicted model, not a curated record. The transcript is spliced from 3 exons.